This is a ribosomal RNA of 1418 nucleotides. It matches the Rfam family "Bacterial small subunit ribosomal RNA".
CUUACCAUGCAGUCGAACGAUGAAGCCCAGCUUGCUGGGUGGAUUAGUGGCGAACGGGUGAGUAACACGUGAGUAACCUGCCCUUAACUCUGGGAUAAGCCUGGGAAACUGGGUCUAAUACCGGAUAGGAGCGUCCACCGCAUGGUGGGUGUUGGAAAGAUUUAUCGGUUUUGGAUGGACUCGCGGCCUAUCAGCUUGUUGGUGAGGUAAUGGCUCACCAAGGCGACGACGGGUAGCCGGCCUGAGAGGGUGACCGGCCACACUGGGACUGAGACACGGCCCAGACUCCUACGGGAGGCAGCAGUGGGGAAUAUUGCACAAUGGGCGAAAGCCUGAUGCAGCGACGCCGCGUGAGGGAUGACGGCCUUCGGGUUGUAAACCUCUUUCAGUAGGGAAGAAGCGAAAGUGACGGUACCUGCAGAAGAAGCACCGGCUAACUACGUGCCAGCAGCCGCGGUAAUACGUAGGGUGCGAGCGUUAUCCGGAAUUAUUGGGCGUAAAGAGCUCGUAGGCGGUUUGUCGCGUCUGUCGUGAAAGUCCGGGGCUUAACCCCGGAUCUGCGGUGGGUACGGGCAGACUAGAGUGCAGUAGGGGAGACUGGAAUUCCUGGUGUAGCGGUGGAAUGCGCAGAUAUCAGGAGGAACACCGAUGGCGAAGGCAGGUCUCUGGGCUGUAACUGACGCUGAGGAGCGAAAGCAUGGGGAGCGAACAGGAUUAGAUACCCUGGUAGUCCAUGCCGUAAACGUUGGGCACUAGGUGUGGGGACCAUUCCACGGUUUCCGCGCCGCAGCUAACGCAUUAAGUGCCCCGCCUGGGGAGUACGGCCGCAAGGCUAAAACUCAAAGGAAUUGACGGGGGCCCGCACAAGCGGCGGAGCAUGCGGAUUAAUUCGAUGCAACGCGUAAGAACCUUACCAAGGCUUGACAUGUUCUCGAUCGCCGUAGAGAUACGGUUUCCCCUUUGGGGGCGGGUUCACAUGGUGGUGCAUGGUUUGUCGUCAAGCYCKUGUCKUGAGAAUGUUGGGUUUAAGUCCCGCAACGAGCGCAACCCUCGUUCCAUGUUGCCAGCACGUAAUGGUGGGGACUCAUGGGAGACUGCCGGGGUCAACUCGGAGGAAGGUGAGGACGACGUCAAAUCAUCAUGCCCCUUAUGUCUUGGGCUUCACGCAUGCUACAAUGGCCGGUACAAUGGGUUGCGAUACUGUGAGGUGGAGCUAAUCCCAAAAAGCCGGUCUCAGUUCGGAUUGGGGUCUGCAACUCGACCCCAUGAAGUCGGAGUCGCUAGUAAUCGCAGAUCAGCAACGCUGCGGUGAAUACGUUCCCGGGCCUUGUACACACCGCCCGUCAAGUCACGAAAGUCGGUAACACCCGAAGCCGGUGGCCUAACCCUUGUGGGGGAGCCGUCGAAAGUGACCCGAG